Molecule: non-coding RNA, 28 nt
Filed under: Mus musculus (house mouse)
Lineage: Eukaryota; Metazoa; Chordata; Mammalia; Rodentia; Muridae
Source: RNAcentral
UGGUAAGACUUCGGGCUCUUCCCUAGCC